Molecule: long non-coding RNA, 417 nt
Filed under: Carica papaya (papaya)
Lineage: Eukaryota; Viridiplantae; Streptophyta; Magnoliopsida; Brassicales; Caricaceae
Description: long non-coding RNA (CPAP_LNC013476)
Source: RNAcentral
CUCUGCUCAGAAUUUAAUUCUGAGCCUCCUUGUGGCCAUAUCAGAGUAAAAGGGGUGACGGGUGAGCCAAAAAUCGCGGGGCAAAGCCUGGCAGAGUCACCGCGACCAAAACCCUAAAGCCUCUCUAAUGACCCCCUUCCCAUUUUCUGUUUCAUACGUUUCUUUGACCAUUGUGUUCACAAUCCCUUUCUGUACAUGUUAGUCGAAUAAAAAACCCCAGCCCGAAGGAGAACCGACUGAGCCGACGCACCCAGAGGCCUCCACGCCGGCUGGUUCAGUUUUUUGAUUUUUUUCCUGGUCGCUUCUUAACGUGUUUUUCACAAUGAUACAUGUAAAACUUACCAAAACUGGCCAAAACCGACCAAGCUGAGGCGAACCGCUACCGUUGGUGGCGGAGCACGGCAGCACCGCCAUGCU